This 491-nucleotide ribosomal RNA is filed under the name Chromobacterium amazonense. RNAcentral describes it as "bacterial LSU rRNA". It matches the Rfam family "Bacterial large subunit ribosomal RNA", at positions 1391 to 1867 of the family's 2925-position model. The record is from RNAcentral. Lineage: Bacteria; Pseudomonadati; Pseudomonadota; Betaproteobacteria; Neisseriales; Chromobacteriaceae.
CUAAGGCGAGGCUGAAAAGCGUAGUCGAUGGGAAACGGGUUAAAAUUCCCGUACUUUUGUGUAGUGCGAUGUGGGGACGGAGAAGGUUAGGUCAUCAGACUGUUGGAAUAGUCUGUUUAAGCCGGUAGGCUGGGGUGGUAGGCAAAUCCGCCGCCCCUUAAGGCCGAGACGUGAUGACGAGGGUCUACGGACCUGAAGUGACUGAUACCACGCUUCCAGGAAAAGCCACUAAGCUUCAGCUACACAAGAACCGUACCGCAAACCGACACAGGUGGGCAGGAUGAGAAUUCUAAGGCGCUUGAGAGAACUCAGGAGAAGGAACUCGGCAAAUUGAUACCGUAACUUCGGGAGAAGGUAUGCCUGUUGUGGUGUAGACCCUUGCGGUCGAAGCUAUGACAGGUCGCAGAGAAUCGGUGGCUGCGACUGUUUAACAAAAACACAGCACUGUGCCAACACGAAAGUGGACGUAUACGGUGUGACGCCUGCCCGGU